Mytilus californianus (California mussel) is the source of this 2308-nucleotide long non-coding RNA. RefSeq lists it as uncharacterized. The record is from RefSeq and is a predicted model, not a curated record. Lineage: Eukaryota; Metazoa; Mollusca; Bivalvia; Mytilida; Mytilidae. The transcript is spliced from 4 exons.
UUUAUUUAAGCUAGUUUAAAUUGAAAUAAAUAAUUUCAGGUGUAUCAACAUUGAUUGGUAAAAAUACAGGAGGAGUUGUCCAUCAUGCAAUAAGAUGUCAGCAAUGCAGAAUCUGUGACAGUGCAACAAAAAGGGGGAUUCAGCCCAAAGAGCACAAAUGUAAGAAAAAUUGGACAGGCUCAGCAAAGGCUAUGGAGCCAGAUAUGCUAGUUCAGAUGGUAAUGGAUGUGAAGAACAAAGGGAUCAACAUAGAUGAAAUUGCAGGUGAGGAUGAUACGACCGGAUUCGACAGGCUGAAAAAGAUAUAUCCUGAAUCAAAGAUGAUUAAAACCAGUGACAGAAAUCAUGUAAAAAAGAAUGUCAUUAAAAAGUUAUAUGCAAUUAAAAGCCAACAUAAGCAGCUCUCUGACAUGGUUAUGAAUUCUAUAUUGAAGAAUUUUUCAUUCAUGAUAGAUCAAAACAAAGGAGAUGUUGAAGGAAUGGAAAAUGGCCUAAAAGCUAUAGUAGAGCACAUGUAUGGGGACCACGCCCAUUGUAAUAGAUCAUGGUGUGGAUUUCUUAAAGACGGAGAAAAAUAUAAGCACAGUAAUUUACCUCAUGGAAAAGACUUGACAUCUGAUUCAUUACGGACAGACCUAGAGAAGAUAUUUUUGGGGAAUGACUCAGUCAAUCCAAGGAAACUUGCAUACCUGUCAAGCUCACAAGCAAAUGAAAACUUUAACAACAUGCUUGCUGCAAAAGCUCCAAAAGCGAAGCACUACUCCUCAUCAGCAAGCUUGGGCUACAGGGUAGAUUCUUCUAUCUUGCAAAAGAAUGAAGGAUAUGCCUAUGUUAGUGAGUUCAUGCAUCCAUGGGACUGUCUCCUGGAGAGGAAACAAUAAAAAGAAGCUCCAAAAUAAAUAUGAAAAGGAAAAAAAACCAAAGAAGCCAAGAGAAGACGUUUCUUCUUAAAGCAGACAAGAACCUCUAAGACUGCUAGUAAAGAAAUAAGGGAAGGCAAAACUUACGAAAGUGAAAUAGGAUUCAAAUCUGAAGUUACAGACAAAGAGUCCCAGGAGAUUCCUGAAAUACAAGACAUCACAAAGAUCCCUUUGAAUGAACAAGAGUCAAAGCACCAGUAGUAAUUUUUGAUUUAGAGACAACUGGCCUCAGUAGGAAAUCUGACAUAACCCAAUUAGCAGCCUAUUCAGAAACUCUGAAUUUUAGCACUUACAUUUUUCCAUCCCAGGCAAUAUCCAAAGAAGCAUCAGAGGUCACACAAAUUUUUGUGAAUGGUAAUCAGAUGUUUCACAACAGCACUGCAGUUCAAUACAAGUUGGCCCAUGAAGCAUUGACGGACUUUAUUAUAUUUUUAUCAAGUUUUCCUAGUAAAUGUAUUCUUGUAGGUCACAACAUCAAACGCUUUGAUACUCAUGUGUUAUAUAACCAAUUGCAUAUUCAUAACAUGUGGAAUGAAUUUUGCUUACAUGUUUGUGCUUUUUGUGACACCUUAGAUUUAUUUAAAAGUGUUGUUCCUGGUAUGUCUUCAUACAGCCAAACAUCUCUUGUAAGAGAGCUCUUAGGCGAUACUUAUGAUGCUCACAAUGCUAUACAUGACACCAAAGUUUUAUACAAACUUGUAAUUGAAAGAGGGAAUUUUAAGGAUAAUGUGGUAGAAUUUUCAUUACCUGUUAGUUAUCCUUAUGAUUCACAUGUUAUCCAAGAAAACUUGAACAGUUUUUCUCAUGCUAUAAAUUGUGAAGCUAUUUCAAAAUCUUGUGCACUGAAGGCAUCAAAAUCUAACCUUAAAUUGUCUCACUUUAAGUUAGCAGUACAUCGAGAUGGUAUAGAUGGACUUAAAGCUUUACUUGCUGAAAAGUCUAACAAGGGAAGUGUGAGAGUAACUAAAUGUACAAGAGUUAUUCAAAAACUGUUUGAUUUUCUUCAUGAAGAUUGAAAUAGUAUGCAAUAAUUAGGUCAUGGAAAAUUACCUUGUUCUCAAGUUCACUAAAUGAUACAGGGGGAAGGAAUUUUUUUAUGCUCCAAUAUCAAAAAGGGAAAGGGCAUUUAGAUUUCCCCUUGUCCGUCCAUAUGUCCUGGUAUUGGUUAGUUUUUUACCUGCGUUGUAAAAAGCAUCAUUUAUAUUUAUCCUUAUACAUUUGUAUGUAAUGAUAUUGGUUAAGUUUAUACUGCUGGAGUUCAAUUUUUUCUUGGCUUUUAUGACAGAGAAUGCAAAUGAUUUUAAUAUUUGUUCUGGGAAUGAUUAUUUAUGCUAUGGAAUGCAUAUUACCUCAAUCAAUUGAAUGGAGAGGCAGGUUCAGAACAUAAA